RNAcentral lists this ribosomal RNA (309 nucleotides) under uncultured bacterium. RNAcentral's name for it is "bacterial SSU rRNA". It matches the Rfam family "Bacterial small subunit ribosomal RNA", at positions 28 to 334 of the family's 1533-position model. The record is from RNAcentral.
GACGAACGCUGGCGGCGUGCCUAACACAUGCAAGUCGAACGGGAGCAAGUGCUUCGGUAUUUGCUUUAGUGGCGAACGGGUGAGUAACGCGUGAAUAACCUGCCUUUCAGUGGGGGACAACAGUCGGAAACGACUGCUAAUACCGCAUAAGCCCACAGCUCGGCAUCGAGCAGAGGGAAAAGGAGUGAUCCGCUUUGAGAUGGCCUCGCGUCCGAUUAGCUGGUUGGUGAGGUAACGGCCCACCAAGGCGACGAUCGGUAGCCGGACUGAGAGGUUGAACGGCCACAUUGGGACUGAGACACGGCCCAG